This 460-nucleotide ribosomal RNA is filed under the name Gemella morbillorum. RNAcentral's name for it is "bacterial SSU rRNA". It matches the Rfam family "Bacterial small subunit ribosomal RNA", at positions 28 to 475 of the family's 1533-position model. Lineage: Bacteria; Bacillati; Bacillota; Bacilli; Caryophanales; Gemellaceae. The record is from RNAcentral.
GACGAACGCUGGCGGCGUGCCUAAUACAUGCAAGUCGAGCGAAGUUUUUCUGGUGCUUGCACUAGAAAAACUUAGCGGCGAACGGGUGAGUAACACGUAAAGAACCUGCCUCAUAGACUGGGACAACUAUUGGAAACGAUAGCUAAUACCGGAUAACAAUAUUUUUCGCAUGAAAGAUACUUAAAAGUUGGUUAUGCUAACACUAUGAGAUGGCUUUGCGGUGCAUUAGCUAGUUGGUGGGGUAAAGGCCUACCAAGGCGACGAUGCAUAGCCGACCUGAGAGGGUGAUCGGCCACACUGGGACUGAGACACGGCCCAGACUCCUACGGGAGGCAGCAGUAGGGAAUCUUCCGCAAUGGGCGAAAGCCUGACGGAGCAACGCCGCGUGAGUGAAGAAGGAUUUCGGUUCGUAAAGCUCUGUUGUUAGGGAAGAAUGGAUAUGUAGUAACUAUACAUAUAA